This 484-nucleotide ribosomal RNA is filed under the name uncultured bacterium. RNAcentral's name for it is "partial 16S ribosomal RNA". It matches the Rfam family "Bacterial small subunit ribosomal RNA", at positions 30 to 507 of the family's 1533-position model. The record is from RNAcentral.
AUUGAACGCUGGCGGCAGGCCUAACACAUGCAAGUCGAGCGGUAGAGCGAAGCUUGCUUCUCUUGAGAGCGGCGGACGGGUGAGUAAUGCCUAGGAAUCUGCCUGGUAGUGGGGGAUAACGCUCGGAAACGGACGCUAAUACCGCAUGCGUCCUACGGGAGAAAGCAGGGGACCUUCGGGCCUUGCGCUAUCAGAUGAGCCUAGGUCGGAUUAGCUAGUUGGUGAGGUAAUGGCUCACCAAGGCGACGAUCCGUAACUGGUCUGAGAGGAUGAUCAGUCACAGUGGAACUGAGACACGGUCCAGACUCCUACGGGAGGCAGCAGUGGGGAAUAUUGGACAAUGGGCGAAAGCCUGAUCCAGCCAUGCCGCGUGUGUGAAGAAGGUCUUCGGAUUGUAAAGCACUUUAAGUGGGGAGGAAGGGCAUUAACCUAAUACGUUGGUGUCUUGACGUUACCGACAGAAUAAGCACCGGCUAACUCUGUG